AACCCAUGGUGGGGGCACCUUCUCAAAAGGUCAUUGUAUCUCUCUUAUGCAUCGUAGAGUGUUUCCUAAAUCCAUCUGUACAAAAGAAGAGAUAUCAUUAUGUAAUU
This is a non-coding RNA of Gossypium arboreum, 107 nucleotides long. The record is from Rfam. Lineage: Eukaryota; Viridiplantae; Streptophyta; Magnoliopsida; Malvales; Malvaceae.